RNAcentral lists this ribosomal RNA (254 nucleotides) under uncultured bacterium. RNAcentral describes it as "partial 16S ribosomal RNA". It matches the Rfam family "Bacterial small subunit ribosomal RNA", at positions 524 to 776 of the family's 1533-position model. The record is from RNAcentral.
UACGGGGGGGGGUAAGCGUUGUUCGGAAUUACUGGGCGUAAAGGGCUCGUAGGCGGCCAACUAAGUCAUACGUGAAAUCCCUCAGCUUAACUGGGGAACUGCGUGUGAUACUGGAUGGCUUGGAUUUGGGAGAGGGAUGCGGAAUUCCAGGUGUAGCGGUGAAAUGCGUAGAUAUCUGGAGGAACACCGGUGGCGAAGGCGGCAUCCUGGACCAAUAUUGACGCUGAGGAGCGAAAGCUAGGGGAGCAAACGGG